AGAGUUUGAUCCUGGCUCAGAUUGAACGCUGGCGGCAUGCCUUACACAUGCAAGUCGAACGGCAGCACGGAGCUUGCUCUGGUGGCGAGUGGCGAACGGGUGAGUAAUAUAUCGGAACGUACCCUAGAGUGGGGGAUAACGUAGCGAAAGUUACGCUAAUACCGCAUACGAUCUAAGGAUGAAAGUGGGGGAUCGCAAGACCUCAUGCUCGUGGAGCGGCCGAUAUCUGAUUAGCUAGUUGGUAGGGUAAAAGCCUACCAAGGCAUCGAUCAGUAGCUGGUCUGAGAGGACGACCAGCCACACUGGAACUGAGACACGGUCCAGACUCCUACGGGAGGCAGCAGUGGGGAAUUUUGGACAAUGGGCGAAAGCCUGAUCCAGCAAUGCCGCGUGAGUGAAGAAGGCCUUCGGGUUGUAAAGCUCUUUUGUCAGGGAAGAAACGGUGAGAGCUAAUAUCUCUUGCUAAUGACGGUACCUGAAGAAUAAGCACCGGCUAACUACGUGCCAGCAGCCGCGGUAAUACGUAGGGUGCAAGCGUUAAUCGGAAUUACUGGGCGUAAAGCGUGCGCAGGCGGUUUUGUAAGUCUGAUGUGAAAUCCCCGGGCUCAACCUGGGAAUUGCAUUGGAGACUGCAAGGCUAGAAUCUGGCAGAGGGGGGUAGAAUUCCACGUGUAGCAGUGAAAUGCGUAGAUAUGUGGAGGAACACCGAUGGCGAAGGCAGCCCCCUGGGUCAAGAUUGACGCUCAUGCACGAAAGCGUGGGGAGCAAA
This 769-nucleotide ribosomal RNA is filed under the name uncultured bacterium. Its description in RNAcentral is "bacterial SSU rRNA". It matches the Rfam family "Bacterial small subunit ribosomal RNA", at positions 8 to 772 of the family's 1533-position model. The record is from RNAcentral.